RNAcentral lists this ribosomal RNA (463 nucleotides) under uncultured bacterium. RNAcentral describes it as "partial 16S ribosomal RNA". It matches the Rfam family "Bacterial small subunit ribosomal RNA", at positions 355 to 807 of the family's 1533-position model. The record is from RNAcentral.
UGGGGAAUUUUGGACAAUGGGCGAAAGCCUGAUCCAGCAAUGCCGCGUGUGUGAAGAAGGCCUUCGGGUUGUAAAGCACUUUUGUCCGGAAAGAAAUCCUUGGCUCUAAUACAGUCGGGGGAUGACGGUACCGGAAGAAUAAGCACCGGCUAACUACGUGCCAGCAGCCGCGGUAAUACGUAGGGUGCAAGCGUUAAUCGGAAUUACUGGGCGUAAAGCGUGCGCAGGCGGUUUGCUAAGACCGAUGUGAAAUCCCCGGGCUCAACCUGGGAACUGCAUUGGUGACUGGCAGGCUAGAGUAUGGCAGAGGGGGGUAGAAUUCCACGUGUAGCAGUGAAAUGCGUAGAGAUGUGGAGGAAUACCGAUGGCGAAGGCAGCCCCCUGGGCCAAGUACUGACGCUCAUGCACGAAAAGCGUGGGGAGCAAAACAGGAUUAGAUACCCUGGUAGUCCACGCCCUAAAA